Non-coding RNA from Panaeolus papilionaceus, 86 nucleotides. NCBI's taxonomy places the organism in Eukaryota, Fungi, Basidiomycota, Agaricomycetes, Agaricales. The record is from the annotation of a GenBank genome assembly.
GGGCUUUUGGCACAGUGGUAGCGCGCACGCUUCGCAUCAAUUAGUGCAACUGCGUGAGGUCGAGGGUUCAAUCCCCUCAAAGUCCA